Xenopus laevis (African clawed frog) is the source of this 858-nucleotide long non-coding RNA. RefSeq lists it as uncharacterized. NCBI's taxonomy places the organism in Eukaryota, Metazoa, Chordata, Amphibia, Anura, Pipidae. The record is from RefSeq and is a predicted model, not a curated record. The transcript has 2 exons.
CCACCUCUGGCCCCCGUCAUUGCCCCCCCCCACCUCUGGCCCCCAUCUUCGGCCCUCCCACCUUGGGUCACCUGUCAUUGACCCUGAACUAAGGCUCUCUAUCUCUGGGCCCCUGGCUUUUCCAUCUCUAAUUGUGGGUGGCACUUAGUAUUGAGCUGGGGGCAGAGCUGACUGUGGUGUCAGGUGACUAACAGGGCGCAGGAUGAAACUUGUGGCGCGUGAUGAUUCCAUGGGAUGAAUUCAUCUCUACUGCUGAUGCCACAAGCUUUAAUGUCCCUGGCACCUCGAAGGCUCACCUUUCAGUUCACUUACUAUGGGCUAUCUGCAUUAUUUCUAUCAUACAUUCUUUCUUAUGCUUUUCAGCUGGUGUUUGAUCUUAGGAAAAUGUGGAGAUUUUGCUAAGAAAUCUGUGAACCUAUUUCUUUCCUUCAACGCCCAACCACGGACUUCUUUGAGGAAUUGUGUCCAGAAUUCAGCAUAUGGUAAAGCAAAGACGGUGCCUCUACAUACCAAAAGGUAAUGUUUGAUUUGAGAGAACCUUUCAUCUUGCUCCCGAGUCUGUUUUAGAAAAAAAGAAUUGAAAUGUACUGAUUAAUAUUCUCUGUGUUUUACUCCCGGACUGCACUGAAUCAACUCCACGUGGAGACCUGGGUCUCAUGUUCCAGUUAGAAGAAGUAGGAAGCCAUCGAUCAAGACUAAGAAGCUGCUUGCACAGUGAAUCCCACGCAAAACCCGUAGAACUGACUCUCCUAAUACCACAGACAGAGAUGGAAAAUGGAUUCUCUGCUCUAUUUUGCUCUUCUUUUUUUGCUGUAAAAACUUUGAAAAAUGAAUAAAAAAGGAAUAUAUGAAAAAGUA